Triticum dicoccoides is the source of this 4001-nucleotide RNA transcript. It is a transcript of the gene named probable inactive serine/threonine-protein kinase slob2, with no coding region annotated. The record is from RefSeq and is a predicted model, not a curated record. The transcript is spliced from 8 exons. Lineage: Eukaryota; Viridiplantae; Streptophyta; Magnoliopsida; Poales; Poaceae.
UGUGGUUGAAAAUGAGCCACCGCCGCCGCUUCCUUCCCCCACGUCGGCGGCUUCUCUCCACCGCGCGCCGCCGUCCUCCUUCCCCGACGCCGGCCACCUCCCUCCACCACGCGCCGCCAUCCUCCUUCCCCGACGCCAGCCGCCGCCUACUACCACACGCUGCCCUCCUCCUUCCCCGGCGCCGGCCACCUCCCUUCACUACGCGCCGCUCCUCCUUCCCCGGCGCCGGAUGCCUCCCUCCACCACACGCCGCCCUCCUCCUUCCCCGGCGCCGGCCGCCUGCCUCCAUCACGCGUCGCCCCCUCCAUCCCCUGCGCCGGCCACCUACAUCCAUCGCGCAGAUCCCGCGCAGCCCCAAAACCUAAACGGCGCCGCCGCUGUCGUUCCGCACAGGAUCGACCCACCGCUAUCGCUCUGCUGCCGUGUACAACUGUACACGCAGUUCAACGCCUCAGCCCCCAGGCCGUUCAAUGCCUCGCUGGCCUGCGGCUCCUCCAUGGACGCCUAGGUGCUCUACUAGAGCCACCGUGGCUGAUGGCAGCCCAUGGUGGAGGAGUUCGUUGCGUCCAUCAGUCCAACCCCAUGGCUUUAGGGUGGACGAUUUUUGUCGCGGCCGUCAGUUCGGACACCUGUGUCACUGCGUGCGUUGCUACCACGGCCAUUUGCGUUACUACGUGCUCUGUCACCGGCCUUAUGCGCACCGUGACCCCUGGCGCACUCCUUCCUCUCCCUAACGCUGCUCGUGCCCUCCCAGGCUUGAUUUCCUGCUGCAGCGAUGAGCUCCUGUACAUUGCUGAAGUUCCGUACCUGACGGCACCAGCACGAGGAUGUAGCAGCCAGGCUGGACCCCGUGAACUGUGAUGCUCUACCGAUGGAGAGAAGUGUGGGAAACUGCGCAAAUAUUGGUAUUUUGGGAGUUAUGAAUUUGGUGCUCCGUAGGUGCCUGCUCGUAUAUGCAAUUUUUAGGUGGGUGGUCCGACACCGCUGUGUCCAGCAGUCCAACACCGCCACUGAAGGCCGUUCAGUGUCGCAAUGCCUACUUUCGCCCGCGCCUCCUUCCCAGUCAUCGUGAGACCUGACGGAACAAGGCAUAACCUCUCUCUCGUACGCAGUAAUAUUGCUCUCUCAUCUCUCAUCUCGUAGGCAGUAAGCUCUCUCAUCUCUCAUCUUGUAGGCAGUACUAUUUUGAUGAAUGUGUUACAAAACAAAUUCCAUAUUGACAUUCAGUAGCUUGGAGAGAGUAGCACAGGGAAACGUUGUUGUGUUGUGGAUGACAAAGAACACAUGUGACAGAAAGUCCAGGUAUUACAACAUGGGGAGUACAAAAUUACUUUUACUGAGAGAUCACUUGAAUCCUUGGUAGCUACUAGCCAUAUGAACCUAACCCAGAAAAAAUGUGCGAAAAAGAAACAUUUUGUACUACCAUUAUUCAUCGAUGGCGUGUAAUGUUAUAUUUUCUUGCUUACCUAGCAUUGAAUUAGAACAACAUUAUCAAGAGCUGCAUUAGCUCAUUACUUAUCUCUUGUACUAUUAAUUUUAUUUUCAAAACCAAACUUGUACUGGGUACAUGAGUUCUGAUAGUAGCUUCUCUUUGACAAAUUUUACAUAAUCAAGCAUUCUUGAUGUGCUGCCUUUCUUCCAGAUAUAUAGAUUCAGUUUUGAAUCCGAUUAUCAAAUUAGACAAUCAUAAUUCUAUUGACAGUUCUGAAACAAAGAAAUGUUUGCGUAACGGUCCCAUAAACAGCACCAAAACGAAUCCCCAUCCUUGGUAACUUGCUGGCUCUGAUCUUCCAGGGCAACAUGAAUGAUCAGCACUCCCUUUAAUCAAUGCACGCUCAUCGAGCCAUAGUAGCAUCUCAUUUGUCCUAAAUUCUUCCACUCUUUGGAAACAAAGUCCCGGAAUGGAUGUGGAUAGAGUAUACUCAAAUGGUUUCGCGAGAAAUCGUACAAUAAGAGUACCGUUCACUAUGCAUUUUAUCAUCAGUUAAAAAAUAAUCACAGAAAAAGUUCAAUUUGUGUUAUUGAAACAACUCAAUUUAUAAGUAUUAUAUUAUAUGAUAAGUGAUGCAUAGGGAUGUUGCAACAGUUCGACUCACAGAGCUAGUAAGUUCGACGAAAAAACAGCACAAGGCAUGUCAGUUCACGCAGAGCAUAUCAGUCUUUCAGUUUCCUGAGCUCGCCAGUUCACCGAUGGGAUCCGCAGCUCCCAGGCGGUUCACAGCCGCCGCCCUAGUCCGUUCGUCACUGCCAAUCGAGGUCGUUCGACAAUGCAGCGUUGAGGUCGGUCAACGACGCAAUGUGGCCAUGGAUGCGCCCAAUGAAGGACAGCGAAAGGCAAAAAACAAACUAGUGCAGCUGCUUGCCUCCUCUUCAUAUCCCAUACUAGAAAACAUCCUUCGCCCCCUCUGUUUUCUUAAAUCCAGCGACCGGUGCCGCCCGCGCACCCAACAACCGGCGCCGCCCCCGAACCCAGCCACCGGCAUCGGCCCCGGACCCAACCACCACUGGUGCCCUCGGACCCAGCCACCACCGCCGCCCCCCGGACCCAGCCACCGCCGCCGCCCUCGGACCCAGCCACCACCGUCGCACUCCGACCAGCCACCUCCGCCGCCCCCAAACCUAUCCACCUCCAUGGGCAACUAUUCCCGGCACUCUGCACCCCCCCUGCGCACCCAUCUCCCGCCGUCCGACGCACUGCUUCCAACCUGCGUGGCCGAGAACCAGCCCCCAGCGCCCCUACGCACUACUUCCUCCCUUGCCCGUCCUGGUAUGGCGGUCACGCCAGUUCAGCUCUUCCUCCCUUCUCCAUCCGAGCUCUCCUGCCAUGCUCCUUUACGCACGAGCUUCUGCCAGCACCAGUGCACGCCGCUACACUGGUUCUUUUGGGGUGCAGUCAUCUGACUUUAUUUUGUUUCCUAUUAUACAAGUUCAGAUGAGGUUCCUUGCUACCUGAUGGAUAUGUGAUAAAGGUAUUGGUCCUCAGUGUUCCUAUUUGGCAUAUGCAAGUUGUUUGAUGUAAUGUCAUAAAUUCAUAACGAAAAAAGCAGGAAUAGUUCAAAACUUGUGUGUUAAAAACAGAACAGUAUAGAUAAACUUCCGUAUCAGUUCGAUGGAAUAAAUCACAUCAGUUCUGACUCGGACCGGCUGUUGCCUACAAUGCAUUGAAAAUAAAAUUUUGAAUCAAAUCAAUCUAGUAGUUCUAUAUUGUCUUAAAGUUUUCGUAUAUUUAUGUUACUGAUGAUGCUCUGAACUGAGCAAGAGUGCUGGGUAAUAAGUGUGCCUUUGGUUUAAUAUUGAAAGAUCUGUUCGCUGACUUAUUGUAGCAAAAUCUCAUGGAAGUGUGUGUUGAUGGCUUCAACUAAUUUAACGCCUGCAUACAGGAUGGUGGCAGUGGUGGCGCAGAAUUGGAGAAAGAAAAAGAGGAAAGCCGUCCAAAAAACUUAACAUUUUUCUCAUGCUUUUGUCUAGCUGAAAUGAAGCAAGACUAAUGUACUACACUUGAUCUCUCUGCACAACAGGUUCAUGCACAUCGACGACGUCGCCAUGCGUGCAUGCUCCAACCUGUCCCCUGUCGCAGCCCCAUCACUCGUUGCUGAUGCACUCCACAACCCCGAGGACCUCCAUGAUGGAGGUCGCCUAGCAGCCUAGCGACGAGAAUCAAGAAGCCCAAUCAUCAUCAGGGAUGAAAAAAAGGAGAGAAGCAUGGGAAGAGGUCCUGGUAGAAGAGGAAGAAGUAAUGUGAAAAAUGAGAUAAAUGUGAGAAUAGCAAGUAGUAAAGCAUGAGAGGGAUUCAGAUUCUAUUUUCACAUUCUUUCUGUACACGUACCUUUAGUCUGUAGAUGCACCGUAAUGGAUCUAGGAAGUGUGAAUGGUUAAUACCUCAAUGGUGCACUAUGCAUCUUUGGCAGGUUUUUAUGCAGUUUUAAAUGGUUGUGGAGCAAUUUAAUGGUGCGCUAUGUACUGAAGUAUACAUUGUUUACAUGUUCUUGUACAUCGGCUCA